This 448-nucleotide ribosomal RNA is filed under the name uncultured bacterium. RNAcentral describes it as "bacterial SSU rRNA". It matches the Rfam family "Bacterial small subunit ribosomal RNA", at positions 330 to 795 of the family's 1533-position model. The record is from RNAcentral.
CCCAGACUCCUACGGGAGGCAGCAGUGGGGAAUAUUGCACAAUGGGGGGAACCCUGAUGCAGCGACGCCGCGUGGGUGAAGGAGUACUUCGGUACGUAAAGCCCUAUCAGCAGGAAAGAAAAUGACGGUACCUGACUAAGAAGCCCCGGCUAACUACGUGCCAGCAGCCGCGGUAAUACGUAGGGGGCAAGCGUUAUCCGGAUUUACUGGGUGUAAAGGGAGCGUAGACGGCAGUGCAAGUCCGGAGUGAAAGCCCGGGGCUCAACCCUGGGACUGCUCUGGAAACUGUAAAGCUGGAGUGCGGGAGGGGCAGGCGGAAUUCCUGGUGUAGCGGUGAAAUGCGUAGAUAUCAGGAGGAACACCGGCGGCGAAGGCGGCCUGCUGGACCGUAACUGACGUUGAGGCUCGAAAGCGUGGGGAGCAAACAGGAUUAGAUACCCGCGUAGUC